Molecule: long non-coding RNA, 463 nt
Organism: Cygnus olor (mute swan)
Lineage: Eukaryota; Metazoa; Chordata; Aves; Anseriformes; Anatidae
Exons: 2
Source: RefSeq, a predicted model, not a curated record
CAAGAAAUGGGAAGCUGGAGGUGUCCCACGGUUCUAGUGGAGCAUUUGCCAGGAUUUCUUGGCACAAUUCUGAAGGAUUUGGAUCAAAGCAAGAUUCACAGGUGUACAGAAGCUUGAAGUGAGCAGUCUUCAGAUUAAUGAUGGAGAGGAAAUUUGUAUCAAGCAAACUGUCUGCUCUUCCCUGUUACCUUGAGACCACCCUGCUGGAAUUACCACUGGGCUAUUCUGAUGGAAACUACUUGGACAUCCCUUAAAAAUAAAUGGACCUGGGGUCCUACUACUCACCUCAACUUCUUCCUGCAGACCCUGCAGCAGAAGCAUGAGGGGUGCAGACAGACUUUGUCAGUGACCACGCGCUCCAUGGAGUAGACGGGCUGCAGGCAUGAGGCACACACCUCUUUUAACAUGGGCUGAAGAAGAAGGAGAAACUGCAGUUAAAUAAGUCAGAAUCGUGACCACUUGG